CCGACAUCAGAACAGGAAAUAAAUAACAGAAAAGCACAAAAAGCUGAAUAUGUCCCCUUUAACGUCAAAUAAGAAGCAACCAGCUAUGUAAACAGGAAGUGACUGUAGCAUCACAAGCUGUAACAUAACUUCCAAAAAUAACAGUUUAAAGUGACCUGUUAAUCCUUUGUGAAUGUAGGCGUGACUUUCUUUUAUUUCUAUCUGCAUAUCAGGAGAAACAUGUGUUUUAGAAUCAGUAUUCAUGCAGUUUACAGUGAGAAGGAAAUAUAUGAUUAUGCUAAGCUAACUGAUGUUAUUGGUUUAGUAAUUUGAGGUUUAGUGUGUUUUUUGUGUGAAAUGUAAAGUGUCAGCUCAGAUAUGUCGACCAGAAUGACAUCUUCUAUGUGACAAUUAGUUUGGUUUAAUUUAAACGGUUAUUUAGACUUUUAAUUUGGAGGAUUUUUGAGGAGCGAGAACAUAAACACAGGAAGUAGCUCCUGAAGCUCCCGUCUGCCCGAAUAUGAAGAAGAGAACGUACUCGGUUGUUAGUCCAGGUCGAGCUGCCGACAGCUGUUGAUUUCACUCAUCAGCAUCCCAGCAUGCAAAGCCUCUCCCGGCUACGGGCGCCAGUUUAGCUCAAACUUGCAGUCUUGUGGUUGGUCAGAUGGAGGUCGGAUCACGUUCCCACCACAAAACAGACAGACGGACCGUUUCCUCUAAAGGGUCUGUGCUGAGUUCAGACGAAUCGAAACCGAGCAGACUAAACAACGAAGCUCUGAAGACAAACAUCCUGUUGAACUUUUCAAACUAAAUAAUAAAACAGCCAAACCCACUGUAAUUACUGUACGCACAAGAAGAAGAAGAAGAAGAAGAAGAAGAAGGGGGGGGGAGGGGGGAAGCAGAAGAAAUGAGGACGCCCCAACAUCCAUCAUAAAAAAUAAUCAGCAGGUUUAAAGUCAAAGAUGCGUCAGGCUCAUGAAGUUAAAGAGGGAAGAUGAAACUUUCCUCCUUCAGCAGACUGAUGAAGAACAACAUCCAGCUGCAGGAAGAAGAAUGACACAACAAAUAUGUGCAGACGGACGGCAGCAGUGUCACCAACUGUACUCCACAAAAAAACACCAAAACUGAGUUUAAAGGUGAAGUAAUUCUUGUUUUUUCUCCCCAAAAUAAAGAGAAUAUAUUAAAACUAAGCAGAGUUUAAGAUGAGUCGUAGUGACGUAUCACUACAGGAACUUCUGUGUUUAAGUGAUAAACUUUGUUCUGUAUGAAAGUUUCAUGUAACAGGUGUGAUGUUUAGGUCUUACUGGGCAAAUAUCACUUCAUCUUCAAUAUUUUAUUAAGAUAUUUGCAUUUUUUUUAACAUUAGCAAGUUGUGGAAAGAACAGAGAAGGAAUCCUGCUAAAAUCAAGUGGAGUUUUUUCCAAAUUUUGUUUUUUUAGCACUAAAUUACUGUUUUGAUUUGCUGCUGCGACUCAUUAUUGUGCUUUUAUGUGUUUUCCCUUUAAAAAAAACACAUGAAGUGCUGUUUCACAUGUGAUAACUCACACGUGUUUUAACAUGUGAAAUGUUCAGGAGCACAUGUGGUUUUCGGACAUUUCACAUGUGGUGCAUUCAGGGGCACAUGUGAAAUGUUUCACUUCACAUGUAAAGCUAAAAACGUCUUUUUUCACAUGUGAAAGACUGAAUUUCACGUGUGCUUUUUUCCGUACGGCUUCUGUGUUUAUAUCGUUAUUUUAACUCUAUCAAGCUGUUACAUGUGUGUUUACAUAGUUU
This is a long non-coding RNA of Thunnus maccoyii (southern bluefin tuna), 1752 nucleotides long. RefSeq lists it as uncharacterized. Lineage: Eukaryota; Metazoa; Chordata; Actinopteri; Scombriformes; Scombridae. The transcript has 4 exons. The record is from RefSeq and is a predicted model, not a curated record.